UCAUCUCUCAUAAUGCUGUUAAGGUACUC
This 29-nucleotide non-coding RNA is filed under the name Mus musculus (house mouse). The record is from RNAcentral. Lineage: Eukaryota; Metazoa; Chordata; Mammalia; Rodentia; Muridae.